Molecule: ribosomal RNA, 930 nt
Filed under: uncultured bacterium
Lineage: Bacteria
Description: bacterial SSU rRNA
Rfam family: Bacterial small subunit ribosomal RNA
Source: RNAcentral
UCGAGCGACGCAUUCCCGGUUCGUAAGAACUGGGUCUGACGGAGCGGCGAACGGGUGAGUAACACGUGAGCAACCUGCCCCGAAGACCGGGAUAGCCCAGGGAAACCUGGAUUAAUACCGGAUACCCUCUCUAGACCACAUGGUCUUGAGAGGAAAGGCCUUUGUGCUUUGGGAUGGGCUUACGGCUUAUCAGCUAGUUGGUGGGGUAAUGGCCUACCAAGGCAAUGACGAGUAGCUGGUCUGAGAGGACGAUCAGCCACACUGGAACUGAGACACGGUCCAGACUCCUACGGGGGGCAGCAGCAGGGAAUCUUGCGCAAUGGGCGAAAGCCUGACGCAGCGACACCGCGUGGGGGACGAAGGCCUUCGGGUUGUAAACCCCUUUCAGGAGGGAAGAAAUUGACGGUACCUCCAGAAGAAGGACCGGCCAACUACGUGCCAGCAGCCGCGGUAAUACGUAGGGUCCUAGCGUUAUCCGGAAUCAUUGGGCGUAAAGAGCUCGUAGGCGGUUCAGCAAGUCGGCUGUGAAAGUCCGAGGCUCAACCUCGGAAUUGCAGUCGAUACUGUUGUGACUCGAGCCCGGUAGAGGAGAAUGGAAUUCCCGGUGUAGCGGUGAAAUGCGCAGAUAUCGGGAGGAACACCAGUAGCGAAGGCGGUUCUCUGGGCCGGCACUGACGCUGAGGAGCGAAAGCGUGGGGAGCAAACAGGGAUUAGAUACCCUGGUAGUCCACGCCGUAAACGUUGGAUACUAGGUGUGGCGGGUCUUACCAACGACUGCUGUGCCGAAGCUAACGCAUUAAGUAUCCCGCCUGGGGAGUACGGCCGCAAGGCUAAAACUCAAAGGAAUUGACGGGUCCCCGCACAAGCGGGCGGAGCAUGCGGCUUUAUUUCGAUGCAGCCGAAGAACCUUACCUGGGUUUGACAUCACGG